Long non-coding RNA from Magnolia sinica, 1583 nucleotides. RefSeq lists it as uncharacterized. The transcript has 3 exons. NCBI's taxonomy places the organism in Eukaryota, Viridiplantae, Streptophyta, Magnoliopsida, Magnoliales, Magnoliaceae. The record is from RefSeq and is a predicted model, not a curated record.
GUAAACUACAAUUACUCAUACAUAAUUUAUGUAAACUACAAUCACUCAUACAUAAUCAUUUUCGCUUAUCAAGACAGUCCACAUAAAAAUGCUUGUUACAUGGACAUUGGUGUUUGGUAGAAAUGCUUUAGCCCCUUGCGAUGGAAUAUAAUGAUAGUGUCAUUUCUUUCAGUGAUAGGGGGAAAAAAAAAACAUGACUUGGGGGUAUUCACCAGCGGAAUUUGCCAGGAGGGUUAUAGCAACACCAUCAACAGUUUUAAUUGAAGCCAUUGACAUGUGAGUUAAUGACAUGAUUUGUUAUGAUGUCAUGUUACCUAAGCUAAUUGAUUCCUCUACUUUUCCAUCUAUAACAGGGAUAGAUUACACUUUAUAAUUCUGAACAGGGAAGAAUUUGAAGGUGUAGACAAGGAAAAGGCCACAGUUGUUAGUUACUAAUAGGGAAAUGCAAAUUCGAGUAUGUUUCCAUGGAUCAAUUUGUAAGCUUAUGUUCCCAUUUUUGUUGAAUGACAGCAAUUAGAUUUCCUGAUAUAGACUAAAACUGAGUAAGCACUUCCAAACUAAAAAUGAGGCUCCUUUCUUUGCGGAGACCUCAAUCAAACUAGCUAGUUUUAUCAAGUGCAGUUUCUCAACAUCGUCUCCUAGACAAUCCAUCUUGGAAAAUUAAGAAGAGAUUACAAAGCAAUGUUGCAGUUGCAGGAAAUAUAGAAAAGACUGCAACGGCAGCAAUGAUGAUGACAACAAUGCAGGAUAGAUUGUUCUCCUGUGAAGAGGCCUUAUACCCUACAUUCAAGAGAUGGACACAACUGCAUGCACAAGCCAAUGUGGCUCAUUUAUACAGGAUUCUGGAUGUUCAUCAGAUGGUCCACUUGGCAAACAUGUCCUACUCUUAAAUCACGCCAACCCACUCAUCAGGCAGCAGCAAAUGUGUGUUGAAUGGAGAUUGUUGGUUAUAAUUUCUCCUACACGUCACCCACCUGAUGAAUGGACCAUCCAUAUUUUUGGGCUAAGGAACAUUCAGCAUUAGGACCACCCUAUGAACAUUGCCAAUUCUGCACAUGUGCCACAUUGACAUGCACGGCGCAUCUGAGUUAGAUGUGAAAACAGAAAGAUCACUAUGUUAGGGUGUGUUUUGUUGCACCAAAUUUCUUGCAACAUCAUGAAACUCCUUUUCAACGGGAGAGUUAAUUGUGGUUAUGAAGCCCUGUAACAGGGCUGCUGUGACUGACCCUUGCAAGUCCUCUUUCACUUGGUAUAUCAUAAUUCAUCAGUAGAGCCCCAUGCUAAAUGUUGAUAUGUUUAGUUAUCAAAAACCUCCCUAUACAGGGCACCUAUGUAUGAGACCUGGACCUUUCAUUUGUUGGAACCUACCAUUGUUGGCUCAGAAGUCACACCACUCCUAUCAUCUUAACCACCUAUUGGGCAGUAUUUGGGGACUAUGAUCAGGUGGUUACAACAAGUCCAUUGUGGUCAACAUUCAGCGAGAGGAAGCGUGCCAAUCAAUGGCUGCUAUCAUUUGAAUUUUCGCAUAAGGCCCAUCAACAGUAGGUCCCAAAGUAUAUGAUUCAAAAGCACUUUAAAAAAAA